Long non-coding RNA from Branchiostoma floridae (Florida lancelet), 599 nucleotides. RefSeq lists it as uncharacterized. The transcript is spliced from 3 exons. The record is from RefSeq and is a predicted model, not a curated record. NCBI's taxonomy places the organism in Eukaryota, Metazoa, Chordata, Leptocardii, Amphioxiformes, Branchiostomatidae.
AUGGCGACAAGCGACUACUUUCAGCUCUCACUACAGUGCUAAAAUCUCUGCAUCCCGGAAAGCUUAGAAAAGAGAAGGACGUGGUCGAGGAAAAGCCAAAGUCAAAAGUUGACCUAAGGCAGCGGUUGGACUACAGUAAGAGGCAAGGAGACUAUGUGGUCAAAAACAUCUAUGAGAAGAAACAGGACUACACUUUCAAAAAGAAAGGUGUUGAAGGCUGUCAUACACAGGCGUCGGGAGUUUUGUGGUGGCUAGGUGCUCCAAAAGCCUGACUUUCCAGGCCAGACAAUAAAACUGCCAUUGCACAGUACCGUUCAAGGUUUACAGGCUAGUAAACGAGUCUCGUUUGGAACUCUACUGUUUUCAUGGUCAUGUUUUCUCAUUUUUGUUAUGUUUUUUUAGCAUACAUGCUUUAUAUGACAAAACUACAUGUAGUUUCUGUUUUGAACGUUUCAAAACUGCUGCUCCUAUUUCUCUUAGACACAAGAAAUGUGAAAAUACAAAUAUUAAUUCAUGAACAUGCAACUUGAACAUGUUGGCAGUAGCCCAUAUACUUCACGUUAAAUCCAGGUAGAUCCUGAUAUACUGAUUUUAUAUGA